GAUGAACGCUGGCGGCGUGCCUAAUACAUGCAAGUCGAGCGAACAGACGAGGAGCUUGCUCCUCUGACGUUAGCGGCGGACGGGUGAGUAACACGUGGAUAACCUACCUAUAAGACUGGGAUAACUUCGGGAAACCGGAGCUAAUACCGGAUAAUAUAUUGAACCGCAUGGUUCAAUAGUGAAAGACGGUUUUGCUGUCACUUAUAGAUGGAUCCGCGCCGCAUUAGCUAGUUGGUAAGGUAACGGCUUACCAAGGCAACGAUGCGUAGCCGACCUGAGAGGGUGAUAGGCCACACUGGAACUGAGACACGGUCAAGACUCCUACGGGAGGCAGCAGUAGGGAAUCUUACGCAAUGGGCGAAAGCUUGACGGAGCAACGCCGCGUGAGUGAUGAAGGUCUUCGGAUCGUAAAACUCUGUUAUUAGGGAAGAACAAAUGUGUAAGUAACUAUGCACGUCUUGACGGUACCUAAUCAGAAAGCCACGGCUAACUACGUG
This 497-nucleotide ribosomal RNA is filed under the name uncultured bacterium. RNAcentral describes it as "partial 16S ribosomal RNA". It matches the Rfam family "Bacterial small subunit ribosomal RNA", at positions 28 to 507 of the family's 1533-position model. The record is from RNAcentral.